This 209-nucleotide unclassified non-coding RNA is filed under the name plant metagenome. RNAcentral describes it as "partial contains small subunit ribosomal RNA, internal transcribed spacer 1, and 5.8S ribosomal RNA". The record is from RNAcentral.
UCUCCGUUGGUGAACCAGCGGAGGGAUCAUUACUGGAAUCGCAAGAUCCCACAACCCUGUGAACCUACCGAAACGUUGCCUCGGCGGGUGCCUUGCCCCCGCGCCGGGCGCUGCCCCCGCCGGCGGCCCCCUACUCUGUCUCUGCAGCGUGGCAUCUCAGAGUCCCAGAAAACAAGUCAAAACUUUCAACAACGGAUCUCUUGGCUUUA